AGAACGGAUUCCGGUUGAAGAUGUGUUCGAGCAGCUGAAAUACAUAAGAAGAGGUUUGACAUCUGAGGAAGGAGCCAACCGGCUCCAAAUUUUCGGCCCAAACAAAUUUCAAGGGAAAAAGAAACUUCAGAAAAGGAUGAGUAGAAAAGAACUCUGGACAUUUUUUAAUACAGGAGAAAGAACUAUUGCCAUUUUUGUCGAAGAGACGAGGAUCGAGUGGAGCAAGCAUAUGCUUGA
Long non-coding RNA from Zingiber officinale, 237 nucleotides. RefSeq lists it as uncharacterized. The transcript is spliced from 2 exons. NCBI's taxonomy places the organism in Eukaryota, Viridiplantae, Streptophyta, Magnoliopsida, Zingiberales, Zingiberaceae. The record is from RefSeq and is a predicted model, not a curated record.